Molecule: long non-coding RNA, 1667 nt
Filed under: Salmo salar (Atlantic salmon)
Lineage: Eukaryota; Metazoa; Chordata; Actinopteri; Salmoniformes; Salmonidae
Description: lncRNA (ENSSSAG00000110874.1)
Source: RNAcentral
CUAAUCCUCCCCCAUUACCCUCCCUCAUCCUCCCCCGUUAACCUCCCUCGUUACCCUCCCUAAUCCUCCCCCGUAACCCCUCUAACUCCCAGGUCUUUGUGCUGUGCUGAUAUAUAUAUAUAUAGACUAAAGCUUUUCAGGGUCAUCAUCAAUGUAAAUGACAAUGAGACACGUGAUUCCUCCCAGUUCAUCAGUCAAGUCUACUAAAAAGCCAUAGAGCCUCAUUGUAAACCAGCGGCAGAAAGGAAACCUGUUAACACGCAGCGUCGUCGUGUCUCUUCAAUAGAAGACUAAUGGAUCACAGGAUAAUAUCGUCUGAAACACGAGAGAAGCUAGGAGCCCGGGGCUCCGUGGCGACUAGGCAGCUAUAGGGGGAUUGUACAUUGCUCAUAGUUUAAACUUUCUUUCUAUAAAAAUUCCUCAACUUCCUUUUGUUGAUUUCAAGCAUAAACGUUGUCCAGCUUUUCCACGGACAACAUCGUCCCUUUCCUUCCUCUCUUCUUCCUCGGUUUGGCAUGACGGUCGUAGUAAUGACUAGGAACAUUACAUACUACUACACUGGAGAGAGAGAGAGAGAGAGAGAGAGAGAGAGAGAGAGAGAGAGAGAGACGAAGAGAGAGACAGAGAGACGAAGAGAGAGAGAGAGAGAGAGAGAGAGAGACGAAGAGAGAGACAGAGAGAGACUUGGGUGCAGCGUCACGUCUCAACAGACAGAAAGACAGGCCUCCUAGUCUGCAGAGAGAGACAGACAGGCCUCCUAGUCUGCAGAGAGAGACAGACAGGCCUCCUAGUCUGCAGAGAGAGACAGACAGGCCUCCUAGUCUGCAGAGAGAGAGACAGACAGGCCUCCUAGUCUGCAGAGAGAGAGACAGACAGGCCUCCUAGUCUGCAGAGAGAGACAGACAGGCCUCCUAGUCUGCAGAGAGAGACAGACAAGCCUCCUAGUCUGCAGAGAGACAGACAGGCCUCCUAGUCUGCAGAGAGAGAGACAGGACGCAGACUAGGAGGCUGUCUUCUCUCCUCUCCUUCCAUCUUUAAAUAAUCCAAGUGCAAAUCCAAAAAGCUCCUCAGUUCAGCGUCUCAAUAAAGUUAUUAUUAACACCUCAGUUCAGCGUCUCAAUAAAGUUAUUAUUAACACCACAGUUCAGUGUCUCAAUAAAGUUAUUAUUCACACACACAAAAAUAAACCUGGUUUCCAAUGUUUCAUGCAACAGUUUGUUAAAACAAAAAAGUGAGAUAAGCCAAAAAAAUAUAUAUAUAUCUGGAAUUAAGUAAACAAAUAUUAUUAUUGUUGUUGUUGAUUGAAUGAUAUUUGGUAGAGCGGUUGUUUAACACGGUUGAAUACUGGCACAGCACUGGCAGAAUAAUACUCAAGGGGGUUUGUAUUGUACGCUAAUGCUUUUAAGUUAUUCAGUACAGUCAAGGAACGCGACGUCAAAACAACACAACUAGCAACUUCUACCAGUCAAAUAAAACUACUGGGAGAGAAACAACAGUUUUUAUUAUUAUUUUGUUCGUUUUUUUUUUUUAAAGACACUAAAUAAAAAUCGAAGUAAAUAAAUGAAGGUCCAUGGCUUUGCCUAAUGCUGUUUUGAAGCUUUCACACAUUGUGCAUCAUCAUAACUCAACAAUCAACAUUGUAAAUAGUGGCUAAAUCUAUGUUUAUU